GUGAUGCGCGCAGCCUGAUCCAGCCAUGCCGCGUGCGGGAAGAAGGCCUUCGGGUUGUAAACCGCUUUUGUCAGGGAAGAAAAGGUUCUGGCUAAUACCUGGGACUCAUGACGGUACCUGAAGAAUAAGCACCGGCUAACUACGUGCCAGCAGCCGCGGUAAUACGUAGGGUGCAAGCGUUAAUCGGAAUUACUGGGCGUAAAGCGUGCGCAGGCGGUUAUGCAAGACAGAGGUGAAAUCCCCGGGCUCAACCUGGGAACUGCCUUUGUGACUGCAUGGCUAGAGUACGGUAGAGGGGGAUGGAAUUCCGCGUGUAGCAGUGAAAUGCGUAGAUAUGCGGAGGAACACCGAUGGCGAAGGCAAUCCCCUGGACCUGUACUGACGCUCAUGCACGAAAGCGUGGGGAGCAAACAGGAUUAGAUACCCUGGUAGUCCACGCCCUAAACGAUGUCAACUGGUUGUUGGGAGGGUUUCUUCUCAGUAACGUAGCUAACGCGUGAAGUUGACCGCCUGGGGAGUACGGCCGCAAGGUUGAAACUCAAUGAAAUUUGGACGGA
This 557-nucleotide ribosomal RNA is filed under the name uncultured bacterium. RNAcentral describes it as "bacterial SSU rRNA". It matches the Rfam family "Bacterial small subunit ribosomal RNA", at positions 368 to 919 of the family's 1533-position model. The record is from RNAcentral.